RNAcentral lists this ribosomal RNA (253 nucleotides) under uncultured bacterium. Its description in RNAcentral is "partial 16S ribosomal RNA". It matches the Rfam family "Bacterial small subunit ribosomal RNA", at positions 524 to 776 of the family's 1533-position model. The record is from RNAcentral.
UACGUAGGGUGCAAGCGUUGUCCGGAAUUAUUGGGCGUAAAGAGCUCGUAGGCGGUUUGUCGCGUCGGCUGUGAAAACCCGGGGCUCAACCCCGGGCCUGCAGUCGAUACGGGCAAACUAGAGUGCGGUAGGGGAGACUGGAAUUCCUGGUGUAGCGGUGAAAUGCGCAGAUAUCAGGAGGAACACCGGUGGCGAAGGCGGGUCUCUGGGCAGUAACUGACGCUGAGGAGCGAAAGCGUGGGGAGCGAACAGG